RNAcentral lists this ribosomal RNA (253 nucleotides) under uncultured bacterium. RNAcentral describes it as "partial 16S ribosomal RNA". It matches the Rfam family "Bacterial small subunit ribosomal RNA", at positions 524 to 776 of the family's 1533-position model. The record is from RNAcentral.
UACGUAGGGGGCAAGCGUUGUCCGGAUUUAUUGGGCGUAAAGAGCGUGUAGGCGGCUUUGCAAGUCCGUUGUGAAAACUCGAGGCUCAACCUCGAGACGCCGGUGGAAACUGCAAAGCUAGAGUCCGGAAGAGGAGAGUGGAAUUCCUGGUGUAGCGGUGAAAUGCGCAGAUAUCAGGAAGAACACCCGUGGCGAAAGCGGCUCUCUGGGACGGUACUGACGCUGAGACGCGAAAGCGUGGGGAGCGAACAGG